AACGCACAUUGCGCCCCUUGGUAUUCCAUGGGGCAUGCCUGUUCGAGCGUCAUUUGUACCUUCCAGCCCUGCUGGGUGUUGGGCGUUUGUUCCGCUGCGCGCGUGAACUCGCCUCAAAUGCAUUGGCAGCCCGCCGUCCCGUGUGGGAGCGCAGCACAUUUUGCGCUCUCCGCUGCAGACGGUGGCAUCCAUAAGUCUACAUUUUUACGCUUGACCUCGGAUCAGGUAGGGAUACCCGCUGAACUUAA
Molecule: unclassified non-coding RNA, 248 nt
Filed under: uncultured fungus
Lineage: Eukaryota; Fungi
Description: sequence contains ITS2
Source: RNAcentral